CCUGACUGCUAUCGGAUUGAUACUAAGCCAUGUGAGUCAUUGUAGCAAUACAAGGCAGACGGCUCAGUAACACGUAGCCAAUCUAACCUAUGGACGGGGAUAACCUCGGGAAACUGAGGAUAAACCCCGAUAGAUCAUUAUGCCUGGAACGGUUUAUGGUCCAAACGAUUCGUCGCCAUAGGAUGAGACUGCGGCCUAUCAGCUUGUUGGUGAGGUAAUGGCCCACCAAGGCUAUUACAGGUACGGGCUCUGAGAGGAGAAGCCCGGAGAUGGGUACUGAGACACGGACCCAGGCCCUAUGGGGCGCAGCAGGCGAGAAACCUUUGCAAUGUGCGCAAGCACGACAAGGUUAAUCCGAGUGUUUCCCGCUAAAGGAAUCUUUUGCUAGUCCUAAAAACACUAGUGAAUAAGGGGUGGGCAAGUUCUGGUGUCAGCCGCCGCGGUAAAACCAGCACCUCAAGUUGUCAGGAGGAUUAUUGGGCCUAAAGCAUCCGUAGCCUGCUCUGUAAGUUUCCGGUUAAAUCCAUUUGCUCAACAAAUGGGCUGCCGGAAAAACUGCAAAGCUAGGGAGUGGGAGAGGUAGACGGUACUCGGUAGGAAGGGGUAAAAUCCUUUGAUCUAUUGAUGACCACCUGUGGCGAAGGCGGUCUACCAGAACACGUUCGACGGUGAGGGAUGAAAGCUGGGGGAGCAAACCGGAUUAGAUACCCGGGUAGUCCCAGCUGUAAACGAUGCAGACUCGGUGAUGCGUUGGCUUGUGGCCAGUGCAGUGCCGCAGGGAAGCCGUUAAGUCUGCCGCCUGGGAAGUACGUACGCAAGUAUGAAACUUAAAGGAAUUGGCGGGGGAGCACCACAAGGGGUGAAGCCUGCGGUUC
This 875-nucleotide ribosomal RNA is filed under the name uncultured archaeon. RNAcentral describes it as "bacterial SSU rRNA". It matches the Rfam family "Archaeal small subunit ribosomal RNA", at positions 21 to 903 of the family's 1478-position model. The record is from RNAcentral.